AACAUAUUACAAAUUAUUUAAUUAUUAAUUUAUUAUAUUUAUUUUUUAGACUAAUUUUUUAAUUAAAAAAAAAUAUA
RNAcentral lists this transfer RNA (77 nucleotides) under Pteridomonas danica. Its description in RNAcentral is "tRNA-Tyr". Lineage: Eukaryota; Dictyochophyceae; Pedinellales. The record is from RNAcentral.